Syngnathoides biaculeatus (alligator pipefish) is the source of this 379-nucleotide long non-coding RNA. RefSeq lists it as uncharacterized. The transcript has 4 exons. NCBI's taxonomy places the organism in Eukaryota, Metazoa, Chordata, Actinopteri, Syngnathiformes, Syngnathidae. The record is from RefSeq and is a predicted model, not a curated record.
GUUUUGCCAGGUGGCUUUCGCUGUCGCAAUCAAGUCCACAAUCAGCCCAGUUCGAUGCCUGCUGCGUUCCAGUCGGUUCCGUCCUUGGACUCUUCAUCGUCCCAUCUGCCGUCAAGCGUGCAAAGUUCAACAACUUACAGCAAAGACGAGGACUCAUAGGGUGUCAUCAUAUGAAAAUUUGAAGACGACGACCUAGGGGAAAAUGGAUGACGUGGAAGUCACAUCUGGAAACAACAACCCGAAGAAGCAAAGGCCCUUCAGAUCGCAAACGCCGACGAGCAUCCUCCUCCUCCUCCAUUUUGAAGGAGAACAAAACAGAGAAGAAUACCAAUGGGAGCUGCUCGGAAAUUGUUUCAUGAAAAAAAAAAAAAUACUUGUG